Molecule: ribosomal RNA, 445 nt
Filed under: uncultured bacterium
Lineage: Bacteria
Description: bacterial SSU rRNA
Rfam family: Bacterial small subunit ribosomal RNA
Source: RNAcentral
CCUANGGGAGGCAGCAGUGGGGAAUCUUGCGCAAUGGGCGAAUGCCUGACGCAGCGACACCGCGUGAGGGAUGAAGGCCUUCGGGUUGUAAACCUCUUUCGGCAGGGACGAAGCGAACGUGACGGUACCUGCAGAAGAAGCUCCGGCUAACUACGUGCCAGCAGCCGCGGUAAGACGUAGGGAGCGAGCGUUGUCCGGAUUCAUUGGGCGUAAAGAGCGCGCAGGCGGCUUGGUAAGUCGGAUGUGAAAACCCGGAGCUCAACUCCGGGCCUGCAUCCGAAACUGCCCGGCUAGAGGUAGGUAGGGGAGAUCGGAAUUCCUGGUGUAGCGGUGGAAUGCGCAGAUAUCAGGAGGAACACCGGUGGCGAAGGCGGAUCUCUGGGCCUUACCUGACGCUCAGGCGCGAAAGCUAGGGGAGCAAACAGGAUUAGAUACCCCUNUANUC